UCAGACGCAAAUUAACGCCGCCAGAUAAUUUUACUGACUUUCCAGUUUUUCAGGGUAUCGUCCGAAGGCAUUAACCCUUCAGGACCACUCCAUUCCCCGCUGAACUGGUAGCUAAUAUGUUGACUGCUGGAGGAAUACCGGUGGCGAAGGCGGCCCCCUGGACGAAGACUGACGCUCAGGUGCGAAAGCGUGGGGAGCAAACAGGAUUAGAUACCCUGGUAGUCCACGCCGUAAACGAUGUCGACUUGGAGGUUGUGCCCUUGAGGCGUGGCUUCCGGAGCUAACGCGUUAAGUCGACCGCCUGGGGAGUACGGCCGCAAGGUUAAAACUCAAAUGAAUUGACGGGGGCCCGCACAAGCGGUGGAGCAUGUGGUUUAAUUCGAUGCAACGCGAAGAACCUUACCUGGUCUUGACAUCCACAGAACUUUCCAGAGAUGGAUUGGUGCCUUCGGGAACUGUGAGACAGGUGCUGCAUGGCUGUCGUCAGCUCGUGUUGUGAAAUGUUGGGUUAAGUCCCGCAACGAGCGCAACCCUUAUCCUUUGUUGCCAGCGGUCCGGCCGGGAACUCAAAGGAGACUGCCAGUGAUAAACUGGAGGAAGGUGGGGAUGACGUCAAGUCAUCAUGGCCCUUACGACCAGGGCUACACACGUGCUACAAUGGCGCAUACAAAGAGAAGCGACCUCGCGAGAGUAAGCGGACCUCAUAAAGUGCGUCGUAGUCCGGAUUGGAGUCUGCAACUCGACUCCAUGAAGUCGGAAUCGCUAGUAAUCGUGGAUCAGAAUGCCACGGUGAAUACGUUCCCGGGCCUUGUACACACCGCCCGUCACACCAUGGGAGUGGGUUGCAAAAGAAGUAGGUAGCUUAACCUUCGGGAGGGCGCUUACCACUUUGUGAUUCAUGACUGGGGUGAAGUCGUAACAAGGUAACCGUAGGGGAACCUGCGGUUG
RNAcentral lists this ribosomal RNA (948 nucleotides) under Escherichia coli. RNAcentral describes it as "bacterial SSU rRNA". It matches the Rfam family "Bacterial small subunit ribosomal RNA", at positions 569 to 1520 of the family's 1533-position model. The record is from RNAcentral. Lineage: Bacteria; Pseudomonadati; Pseudomonadota; Gammaproteobacteria; Enterobacterales; Enterobacteriaceae.